Molecule: long non-coding RNA, 1556 nt
Organism: Pongo abelii (Sumatran orangutan)
Lineage: Eukaryota; Metazoa; Chordata; Mammalia; Primates; Hominidae
Source: Ensembl
UUCUUUAAACUGUUCCUGUGCAUUUUAUAUAUUUUGGUAUGUAUAUUUUACACACUCACACAAACACACACAGGCACAGGGACACUUGCAAAGAAACACCUGAACAAACACUCUCCAGCUGACCCAGUCAGUGCCUGAUGGGAAUGCUGCUCUGCAGUGAUGAGGGAGUCGCAAGCAAAAGAUGUUCAUCUGUGAUGUUCCAGAACACACACAUCUUGAACACCCCGCUCCGCCUCCGCUCAGCCGGCCCGGCCUCCGGCCUCGCACUCCAACCCGCAGAAGGAGCGCCCCCUUGCGGCCCUCGGAAUCCCAUUGUUCCUGUCCUGGUCCCAGCAGCCCACCGUCGGCGCGCAGCAAUGAGGACCAACUCCUUGGACGCCGCCGUUGAGAAAACGCAACAUCAAGGCCAACCGCUCCUGUACUCAAGCGAAGCCCUGCCUGCAGCGCGAGCACAAUGAUGCCUACCUGCCCUACCCCAGACGCAGACUCGCGAGCCCGAACCGGACCAUGAGCCGCGCCGAACCGGAGCGCUGCGCCUGCGUUGGCGUCGGGCGUCGCGGCCGCGCAACGUCCGGCACGAGAGCGCUCGCUGCACCUCGGCCGGCCUUCCAUGCCACGCCCCCGGGCCAGGCCACGCCCCGGCCCCAGCGACCAUCGAGACUCCGGGACCUCCGCGGUGCCUAGAGGGAUCCCAAAAAACGCCUGCGAGGCCCAGAACAGCCGAAAUAACCCACCCCAGCGGGCCAGCUCUUCCCGCCACUCUCCCUUACCCUUCCACCUCUGUCCUACCUUGGAAACCUUCCUCGCUCCUUCCUAAUCAGGAGAGCAUGGGGACUUUCUAGGGUAGUGGUUCUCAAAUGUGCCACCAAUCUAACAGCAGCUUCACCUGGGAAAUUGAUGGAAAUGCAAAUCUUGGGACCCCACUACAGGCCUACUGAAUAAGAAACUCUGAGGGUGCGCCCAAUAAUCGGCCUUACCAACCCUGAAGGUAAUUGUGGUACAAACUAGGGCUUGAGAACCACUGCUAUAUGGCAGGGUUUCUCAACCUCCACUCUUGACAUUUUGGGCCUGGAUAAUUCUUUGUUCAGAGGGAAGGAGGCUGUCCUGUGCAUUAUAGGAGGCAGGGUCAUGGAUAAAAUACAGUUAAAUUUCAGUUUCAGGUAACAGUGUUGUUCAUCUAAGAUUCACAUUUAACUGGAAAUCCCUGUCUUUCAUCUGGCUACCUUGCCUACCUAUAUUUUUACUUGGUAAAAAUAGAACCCUAAUUGUAGGAUAUUGAGCAUCCCUAGCAACUAAAUUCCAGUAGCACACCACACUCUCUCCACUCUAGUUAUGACAAAUAAAAGUAUCUCCCCCUACUUCUUGAGAAUCACGGCUCUAUAAGGACUUUGUCCAGCUGAAACCCAGUAGCCCAUUAGGUAUAUAGGACAGUGUACUCCACAGAAAACUGCCUUGCCCUGAAAGGCUUUGAACACAGAAAUCCCUGGGACCAAACCCUGUUAACAUUCAAAAAGAGGGCCACUUAGUGAAGAGUUUGUAUUUGCUUCUCCACCCUG